CAAUAGCGUAUAUUAAAGUUGUUGCGGUUAAAAAAGCUCGUAGUUGGAUUUCUGUUGAGGACGACCGGUCCGCCCUCUGGGUGAGUAUCUGGCUCGGCCUUGGCAUCUUCUUGGAGAACGUAACUGCACUUGACUGUGUGGUGCGGUAUCCAGGACUUUUACUUUGAGGAAAUUAGAGUGUUUCAAGCAGGCGUACGCCUUGAAUACAUUAGCAUGGAAUAAUAAGAUAGGACCUUGGUUCUAUUUUGUUGGUUUCUAGAGCUGAGGUAAUGAUUAAUAGGGAUAGUUGGGGGCAUUCGUAUGAUGGUGUUAGAGGUGAAAUUCUUGGAUCGCCGUCAGACGAACUACUGCGAAAGCAUUUGCCAAGAAUGUUUUCAUUAAUCAAGAACGAAAGUCAGAGGUUCGAAGAUGAUCAGAU
RNAcentral lists this ribosomal RNA (418 nucleotides) under uncultured eukaryote. Its description in RNAcentral is "SSU rRNA". It matches the Rfam family "Eukaryotic small subunit ribosomal RNA", at positions 592 to 1013 of the family's 1831-position model. The record is from RNAcentral.